GAUUCUUCUGCUUCAGCCUCCUGAGUAGCUGGAACUAUAGAGUGCCAGGAUUACAAGCGUGAGCCACCGUGCUUGGCCAGGAGCCAGCCCUUUUGAGAGCUGGAGAAGAGUAUUCUGAGCACAGGGAAUAGCAAGUGCAAAGGCUCCAUGUGUUUAAGAGCAGGAAAGUUGACCAGUGUGGCUGUAGAGGAACAAGUGGGCUGGGAGGUCAGCUGGGGUUAGGCCCUGUAGACCACGAGAAAAGGACUUUGUAUUUUGUAGUAGGUGCAAUAGGAAUCCACUGGAAAGUUUUGAACAGUAUAGGAAUAUGACUUGAUUUAUAAAGGACCUUAGAAUACA
Non-coding RNA from Microcebus murinus (gray mouse lemur), 339 nucleotides. NCBI's taxonomy places the organism in Eukaryota, Metazoa, Chordata, Mammalia, Primates, Cheirogaleidae. The record is from RefSeq and is a predicted model, not a curated record.